CCUGAUUUAUUACCACUCUAAGAAUAUUCAGAGAAUACAUUUCCGUACUAUACCUCAGCAUUAAAUUCCCUCAGCCGCCAAUCCACCCUUUCCACCAGCAUGUCAAUAUUUCCAUCAAGUCUGUUCAUAUCCUCUUCAUAAUUUGGUAUUUUUCCGUGUUUUGUACAAUCAAUUGAUUUGGAAGUUAUGCCCUAUAUACUCAAGUCCAUAUCAUUAGCAAAGAAAAUUACAUUCUUCUCCCAGUCCCUGGGGAAAUUCACUGUCACUUCCCUCCAGACUGAUAAACCAUCUGUUAUUGUCACUCUCAUAACCUCAGUUAAUUUUAUAUUGAUGCAGCCACUGUCCAUUUGAUUUCAUGGCCUUCAACCCUGAUGACAAUUUUUUAUGCAGCAUCUUAUCGUAUACUUAUGCAAAUCCAGAUAUAUCAUAUCAAAUGCAUUUCUGUCAUCAACUCUCUGUUACUUUUAUCAAUAAGUUCUAUAAAAUUAUACACAAUUUUACUUUGACAAAUUUAUCCAAGGGGGAUGAUUCUGACCCUGUUUCAAGAACCUUUCAUCUCCACCCUGUUAAAUCGACUUAUCUGUAGUUACUGGACUUAUUCCUGGAUCGAGGGGUUAAUAUUUGUAAUUGUCCGUCCUCAGGUUCACCCCUGUAUUAACAAUUAUGGCCAGAGCCUCUGUAAUUUCUUUCCUUACUUCCUUCAGCAUCACAGGAUACUGUACCAUCCCAUUAAGUGCAGCUAACCUUUCCAGUACCUCCCCUUAAUCAAUUUUUAUUCCACCCAGAAUCAGAAUUAGUUUUCUGGCUAGAACUUAAGCAGCAUCAGCAUCAUUAAAGACGGAUGUGAAAUAUUUAGUAUUCCAGCCACGCUCACUGCCACAAUGAGUAAAUAUCCUUUUUGAUGACUGAUCAGCUCACUUCUUCUCUUACAACCUUGUUCCAAUUCAGUUGUUACUAUUCAGUCGAUAGAUUCACUUUUCUAUCUGCUGCUAGUCUUUUCUGUGUUCCCUUUCUCUAUUAUUUUAGUGUUUACUUCUCCUCCCAGGCUGCUUUUUUAUUGUUAAGAGCAUGUUGUAUGAUCUUUUGCUGCCUGUUUCAUCAUUUGAAAAGCUCCAGUUGUAAUCUCUCUGUGCUUUCCCCCUGUAAGAAUAUAUUUAGACCAACUGAAAAGUCUUCAAAGGUCUCAUUUCUUUCCACAUUACCGCACUACGACCAUAAGGCAUAGGAGCAGAGGUAGGUUAUUCAGCCCAUCAAGUCUGCUCUGCCAGUCAUGCACUGAUUCAAUUCUUCCAGUCAUCCCCACUCCCCUACCUUCAUCCCAUACCUUUUGAUGCCCCAGCUAAUCAAGAAUCUAUCUAUCUCUGCUUUAAAUGCACCCAGACAUGGCCUCCACAGCCACUCGUGGCAACAAAUUCCACAGAUUUACCACCCUCUGACUAAAGUAAUUUCUCCACAUCUCUGUUCCAAAUGGAUGUCCUUCAAUCCUGAAGUCGUGCCCUCUUGUCCUAGACUCCCCUACCAAGUAGGACAAGUCUCUUUCCAUUGAAAAUGACCCUUAAAUUAGUUCAUUAUGUUGGACAGUAGACAAAUAUCUGGAAGAACUCAGCUGGACAGGCAGCAACUAUGGAAGGAAACGGACAGACGAGACCCUUCAUCUGGUACCUGCUGAAUGCUUCUAGCAGGUAGUGUUUUUCCUUGAGAUUCCAGCACUGGUAAUCUCUUGUGCCUCUUUUCAUGUUGUGUGUUCUCCAUCCUUUUCCAAAGGUAUUGUAAAUAAAAUUUUGAUCGUUAUUUUCUAGAUAUGGUCCAACUAAUUAUUGUUUUACUUGAUCUGCCUCAUUUCCUCAAGCAAUGUCAUCUCCCUUGUUGGAAAAGUACAUCUGAUCAAGAAUGUGCAUUUGCUCAAAGUUUGGAAAUUCUUCUGCCUUUGGUUCUCACAUCAUCACCUCACUUUAAUACUCUUGCCCUCCUUAGCCCAAUAUAUUCCGGAACACCAUAGAUGUAUACUUAUUAGUGAUACAGUGCGGAAUAGGCCCUUCCAGUCCUUCAAACCAUUCCGCCCAAGCAAACCUUAACCCCCAUUAUCCCUAACCUACAAUUUACAAUGGCCAAUUCAUCUCCCUGGUAUGCCUUUGGACUGUGGGAGAAAACUGGAGCACUUGGGGAAAGCCCACAUAGUCCACGGGGAGGAUAUACAGACUCCCUACAGAACAGCUCCAGAAUCGAGGUCCAAAAUGCCUUAGCUGUAAUAGUAUUGCACUAAUGCUACUGUUACACACCCCAAUAUGACUGUAAGCAUUUUCAAAAAUGCAAGAAGUUUUCAGCAGUUGACGAUACUAAAGUGAUAGAAAAUCACUGUUUUUCCAUGAAUGCUGACUCACCUACUCAGUAUUUCCAGCUUUUUUUUUUACUUUUAUGAAAAAACACUUGUAUUCAUUAUUUUGAAUUCUUAUAAACGUCUCAUUAUUUUGAAGUCACUCUGAGCAUAUCUGUGGCUGUGUAAUUUAUUGAAAUAAAGUAGGUUACUGAUUUGUGAUAGGCAUUUUUAUACCCGAUGCCUUCUCAGUCAAAUGUCAAAAAGAUUAAAUAAAAAUUUUUGAGGGUAUUUUCAUAGAUACAAUAACAAGGUUGCAGGCCAAAUGGUAUAUGUUGUUGCAUUAUACUGUAGUUUAACUUAUAAGACAGCACGAGUAAACAUCAGUGUAGAUUAAAUCCAACGUGAUAAAUGCUGGAGUGAAGUACCCAAACAUUUCUAACAGCUUGCCUAUUUUUCUUGACUGCCACAAAACCCAAUCAUUCUAUGUCAUUGUAUUGACAGAUGUUCCCAGAUUUCUUUCCCUCCCAUUUCACCUUACUCCUCUGGUAUUAUGAAACACCAGGGUGAUAGUUUCCUGUAUUCUAGUCCUUGGAGGUGCUAUUUGCCAUCAAACUGCAUGUACUGAAUGCUUACAACGUCUACUGAGGAAUGCAUGUGAGAGUAACAAGUACACUGGACACUUUCAAAGACUCUCACUUACACGUACAAGAUAUUCAACAAUGACAAAAUGAGAGACACAGACAUCACACAAGAACACUGUGUAAACUGUAGAUACAUUUAAUAACAGUUCAUCUGUUGAGGGAAAGAUUGGUCGCUGGCUGCAUUUCACAACACAGCAAUCGACUUUACCUCUUUCCUAUGUUCCUUUCACUUGAAAUAAAUGAACUAAAGGUAGCAGGUAAAAUUGCUGAGAAUUUACUACCAAUUUAUCAUGCUACCAUCCAAAAGUCAAGGUUGCUCCACUUAAUGUCAUCUGGUAUUACUGAACACUUGAUUUUCCUAUUCAUUCUGUGCAGUGCUGUGGAAGGUCUAAUAUUUGUGUGUGAAGUCAAUCAACUUUAUACCAUUUCGGUUCAACUGCUGCACAAAUCCUCGUUUUUUAAACUUUAACCUUCAGUAGAACAUAGAACAUUGACAGUACAGCACAGAAACAGGCCCUUCAACCCACAAUGCUGUGAUGAACCAAAUAAAUUAGUAAUCAAAUGGCCAACUAAUCCCCUGUGCCUAUACCAUGUCCAUAUCCUUUCACUUUCUCCACACUCACGUACCUAUCUAAGUCUCUAAUGCAGUGGGUUCCCACCCUUUGUUAUGCCAUGGACUAACACCAUUAGGCAAGGGGUCUGUGGACUCCAGGUUGGGAACCCCUGCUCUAAUGUAUCUGCCUCUGCCACCACCCCAGGCAGCGUCUUUCAUGCAUCCACCACUUUGUAUCUUGCUCAGAGAUCUAUCAUUGAAAACUUUUCACCAGGGUUCCAUUCAUUCAUCACCACUGGAUUUGCCUUCCAGCUAUGCAAUGCUUACAUUUUGAAAUUCUCAUUCCUGUUUCCAUGUGAUCAUCCUCCUAUCCUUUUACAUAUCUGUCUUAAAAUCCUCAAUGAUACUUGUACACCUCAAAUUCUUAUUCUUUCCAAAGUUAAUCACUACUGUCAUUAGCAGCACACACAAAAUGCUGGAGGAACUCAGCAGGUCAGACAGCAUCUCUGAUAGAGUAAACAGUUGACGUUUUGGGUGGCAGCCCUCCUUCAGGACACUGUCAUUGGCUGCCUACAAUACUUCUACUUUGCUUCCUUUAAGACACCUCUUGAAACCAAACCCUUUGACCAACGUCAUUUAGCUUCUUAGUGCCAAAUUGUUUUUUGAUGAGCACCGUAUAUUUUGCUGUAUUCAAAGUACAUUUUUAUAACCUAUAAUCUACAUAUAAACGUUUAUCACCAGCUUCAAAACUGCAUCCCAAUUUGUAACUUUUUUUUCCCUCACAGAUCUUUGGUUAAACACUAUUAUUACGAAGAAUAUAACCUUAAACAAUUUACUUAAUAAGAUUUUGUUCCUCUUCUCUAACCCUGCGUAGUGGCAUCGGGAUGGAUCAGAUUCACUCUGUAUCUACGUUCAAUCCACCAACUUCGAUCCGCCGCCCUGCAAAAACACAGCAACCUCCGCAGCGUCUAAGUCUAUUAACCUUCUAUGUUCUUCGCGUCGCUACAUUAUCCAGACGCAACAGUGAAUAGGUUAGUUGCGUCUCCUUACAACCAGACGCUAUUACUGUUUUUUUUUAAAUCAGCGGAGUGAUCAUAUUAUAAGCUAUAUGUCGAAGUUGCUCAAAUAAUAGUUUUCUAUAAAACUUAUGAUAACCCCCUCACCUUUUAUAUAAAAGCAUAUUAAAAUACAGAGAAAAUAAGUUUUCACAGCGACAAGGUUAUAUAAUAUAUAUUUAUAUAUAAUUGCAAAUACUAAAAAGAAUUGGUGCAAAAGUCCAACGAAAUGCUAAACAGUGCAGCAGUAAAGUUAGUGGGUGCCGAUGAAAUGUGCCCGAAGAUGCGGGGCUGGAGACCGGCCGAAGGAGUCGCCGCUCGCCCCAAUUCCGGACGCCACGCGGCUCCCCGCUGGACACACAACCUCGACAUGGGCACCGAAGAGCAGCGCAGGAGAAUUUCUUUCCGUGACCAUUCAGCGCGGCGCAUGAGACUGCCCUCCUCCUCCCAACUGGUCGCGACGGCUCGUCUGCAAUCAACACCCUCUGCCUAGUGCCUCUCUGCCAUUCGCUUCACUUGCUGAUCCACUGUGACAAAAACAAGUGCUCAGCCUUUGCCAGCUGAAGGAGCAAAUUGAAAGAUCACAUGGAGUCGGUGUUCAAAAUAAUGGACGAUUUAUUGAAAGACCUGGUGUGCACUAGGAGACCAGCCAAUGUUGAUCUACCGAAGCAUGAGUUGGGUGUCCGUGAGGCUUUGAGUGAAGGGUGUGGCCUCGAGGCCAAGAAUCAUGGUGAUGGGGCGCAAGCCCCAUGAUCAACUCAAUUCCUAGCCAAUCUCACCAAUUAAAGC
This is a long non-coding RNA of Mobula hypostoma (lesser devil ray), 5355 nucleotides long. RefSeq lists it as uncharacterized. NCBI's taxonomy places the organism in Eukaryota, Metazoa, Chordata, Chondrichthyes, Myliobatiformes, Myliobatidae. The record is from RefSeq and is a predicted model, not a curated record. The transcript has 3 exons.